AUUGAACGCUGGCGGCAUGCCUAACACAUGCAAGUCGAACGGAAACAGGACGCUGUGAUCUCUUCGGAGUGAACUUGUCGCUGUCGAGUGGCGGACGGGUGAGUAAUGCAUAGGAAAUUGCCUCGAAGUGGGGGAUAGCCCGGAGAAAUCCGGAUUAAUACCGCAUGCGCUCUACGGAGCAAAGCGGGCCUCUGAUUUAAGCUCGCGCUUUGAGAUAUGCCUAUGUCGGAUUAGCUUGUUGGUAGGGUAAAAGCCUACCAAGGCAACGAUCCGUAGCUGGUUUGAGAGGAUGAUCAGCCACACUGGAACUGGAACACGGUCCAGACUCCUACGGGAGGCAGCAGUGAGGAAUUUUGCGCAAUGGGGGAAACCCUGACGCAGCAACGCCGCGUGGGUGAAGAAGGCUUUCGGGUCGUAAAGCCCUGUCAGGUGGGAAGAACCGUUUCGAUACUAAUAAUGUCGAAGCCUGACGGUACCACCAGAGAAGCACCGCCAACU
RNAcentral lists this ribosomal RNA (498 nucleotides) under uncultured bacterium. RNAcentral describes it as "bacterial SSU rRNA". It matches the Rfam family "Bacterial small subunit ribosomal RNA", at positions 30 to 502 of the family's 1533-position model. The record is from RNAcentral.